AGGCAGCAGUGGGGAAUAUUGCACAAUGGGGGAAACCCUGAUGCAGCCAUGCCGCGUGUGUGAAGAAGGCCUUCGGGUUGUAAAGCACUUUCAGUAGGGAGGAAGGUAGUGUAGUUAACACCUGCAUUAUUUGACGUUACCUACAGAAGAAGCACCGGCUAACUCCGUGCCAGCAGCCGCGGUAAUACGGAGGGUGCGAGCGUUAAUCGGAAUUACUGGGCGUAAAGCGCAUGCAGGCGGCCUGUUAAGUCAGAUGUGAAAGCCCGGGGCUUAACCUCGGAAUUGCAUUUGAAACUGGCAGGCUAGAGUCUUGUAGAGGGGGUAGAAUUUCAGGUGUAGCGGUGAAAAUGCGUAGAGAUCUGAAGGAAUACCAGUGGCGAAGGCGGCCCCCUGGACAAAGACUGACGCUCAGAUGCGAAAGCGUGGGGAGCAAACAGGAUUAGAUACCCUGGUAG
RNAcentral lists this ribosomal RNA (455 nucleotides) under uncultured bacterium. RNAcentral describes it as "bacterial SSU rRNA". It matches the Rfam family "Bacterial small subunit ribosomal RNA", at positions 346 to 793 of the family's 1533-position model. The record is from RNAcentral.